GGGAGUUUCCCUGCACAAGCUGCCUUCUCCUGUCUGCCACCACGUGAGAUGUGCCUUUCACCUUCCACUAUGAUUGUGAGGCCUCACCAGCCAUGUGGAACUAGUUCAAGAUUUCAACAUUUUAAGAUAAUCUGAAAAAAAUUGGAAUGUGCCCCCAGCUGCCAAUACUCUCUCAACACUGUUUAUCAAAGGAACCAAUAUGGAAGGAAAAACAUUGCUUUGAAGGGAAGAUGGAUGGAUCCCCUAGUAAACUACAGCUUGAGGUGCAAUUUCCUAAAGUUCAAAUGCCUGAAAAAGGAAACGAAAGAAAGAAACUCAACUCUUGAGACAGCUUCAAUGCUAGCUUUGAUCUCAAUUAUAGAGUUAUUUAUGAAAAGUGCAUUUUUACAACUAAAAAUAAAUUAGGAUCAAAAGCUUCUAGAGGCUAUACUAUGGAGUGCUUAAUAAAAAGUUGAGUAAAGAGUAAUGAAUGGCUUUGUACUAUUAAUUUGAAAGAAUUACCUUCUCUUUUAAACAGCUGCCAAGAUAGUGAAGAUUGACAUGUCACAGGAAAUUAAAACAAAUGGUUUCUAGUCCUGUAUGCCUUGGUGGGUAAACAGUAGGAUAGAGCCCUUACCUGGGAAGCUGUGGGCUGGACUCUACCUCUAACUGUGUGCAACCAUUAAAGGAGCAACCUUCAGCAAGUUUAUUUAACUCUCUGGGCCUCAAAUUACCUACUCCUAAAGUGCACGAGAAGAACUAGUUCUUCUCUGAAAUUCUUCCUGUCUCCAAUGGCC
Molecule: long non-coding RNA, 776 nt
Filed under: Homo sapiens (human)
Lineage: Eukaryota; Metazoa; Chordata; Mammalia; Primates; Hominidae
Description: HSALNT0348155
Source: RNAcentral